GUCAGGAUUGCAAGUCAUAUGCUCUGCAGCUCAGCCUCAUCAGUACAUUAGGGAAAUAAAACUGUCAGCAAGAUCAUCUUUGAACACAAAAAGCAGUGGGAUGGUUAGAAACUCAAAGGAAUGCCCAGGGGCUGAAAACACUGUGCUUAGCAUUAAUUAACUGGGAGAGGGCGAUGACAGGUGCUAUAGAAGUGAACAUUCUUGUUAUUAAUGUUAAUUUUUUUAUAUUAACGGAGGGAAGAAUUCUGGACCUGUUGUUUCAUAAUUAAUUUUCAUGCAAGUUCUGUGUGUCCUAGAUGUCCCCUAAAGAUGCUCUGUGACUGUAUUCCCCAACCAGUUAGCAAAAUGCCUAGAAGUAGGCAUGUUGGCUCCAUGUUGAACACCUGGCAUCCAUUUAGACCCAGCUAGUAUCCAUUACCUAAUCAGCCUUAGGGCACCAGGGAAGCUGGGCUUGGAAGAAGAAAAGACAGUGCCAUGGAAUGUUGCCAAAACAGAGCAGAUGAAGAGCAUCUGGAAGUCGAGGCAGGACUGGGACCAUCCCCAGAGGAGUGUGGAGCCUGGGAAACCAACCCUGCCACCAGCCUUUUCUCUCUCUUCUUUCCCUUUCCACCCAUUUUUAUUCGGGUAAAAACUGGUUCAAAAGAAAAAAGAGACUGUCUUAGAGGCCUUUUUUUUUUUUUGUAUGUAGCCAGAGGGAUGUGGAAGUGCCUGUGUGUGCUAGGAUUGCAUGUCUGUAAGUUCCUUUGCUGUCUAAGACCAUCUGUCUUCUCUUUGACCCCCUGUUUUCCCCACUCCAGCUCUGCACCUUACCCCAUGGUUGAUCCAACCCCAAGGUUCACCUCUUCUGGGGCAGCAGCUCUUUUUUCUUACGUUACUGGUUACUUCACCAGGAAGGGGUGAAGGGGAAAGUUAAAUGAGGUUUCUAGUCUAGAUGAUCCAGUUAUCACAUUGUGAGUAUGUGAUUGAGUAGGAUUAUUAGAGUAUAAAAUCAAAGUAAAUUCCAAGCCAGUUUUCUAAUAGGUUUUGACAUAGGAAUGGCUCUUUCAAGAACUUUGGCAAUUCUAUAGCAAUGUGAUGAGUACAAUCUGGCCCACUGUCCCUUAACCUGGCUGGUUCCAGCUGCCCCUCAGGGCAGUCAUCAGGGAUGACUUUUUCUCUCUUUGCCCUCUGAUUUGUGUUCCUUCUGGUUGUGUUUCCUCCAUUUAUUAGGGGAUCAGUGAUUAGCACCGCAAAAUUAUUUAUCCCUGCAACAUCAAUUGACUUUUAUAAAGAGUAUUUACUUCAAAGAGAUAGUAAGAACAAAUGUGUAAGCUUUCCCCCCAAUACUUCCAAUGCUUAUUCUCGCCUAUACCACCUCAGUGUUUGGGGGAGUAGGCUCAAAAUUUUGCUCAGUUCCUACAUAGUAUAGGCCCCACCAAAUUCAAGUUCACUGCAGGUUAAGUUCUUCCAACAGGCUGAGACCCUAAAGGUUACUCGCAAAGGUCACUCCUUGCUCCUCAGGGCACUGCUACUAUGCUGGCUAUAAAACACAGGUUGGAUUCUGAUGCUUAGAUUGCUAUGGCUCUCUCUUCUGACCAAAAAUUGCAAUGAAUGAAAACACCAAGGACCG
RNAcentral lists this long non-coding RNA (1609 nucleotides) under Phascolarctos cinereus (koala). Its description in RNAcentral is "lncRNA (ENSPCIG00000031163.1)". The record is from RNAcentral. Lineage: Eukaryota; Metazoa; Chordata; Mammalia; Diprotodontia; Phascolarctidae.